RNAcentral lists this ribosomal RNA (503 nucleotides) under uncultured bacterium. RNAcentral describes it as "partial 16S ribosomal RNA". It matches the Rfam family "Bacterial small subunit ribosomal RNA", at positions 30 to 523 of the family's 1533-position model. The record is from RNAcentral.
AUUGAACGCUGGCGGCAGGCUUAACACAUGCAAGUCGAGCGGGGUGAUGGUGCUUGCACUAUCACUUAGCGGCGGACGGGUGAGUAAUGCUUAGGAAUCUGCCUAUUAGUGGGGGACAACAUCUCGAAAGGGAUGCUAAUACCGCAUACGUCCUACGGGAGAAAGCAGGGGAUCACUUGUGACCUUGCGCUAAUAGAUGAGCCUAAGUCGGAUUAGCUAGUUGGUGGGGUAAAGGCCUACCAAGGCGACGAUCUGUAGCGGGUCUGAGAGGAUGAUCCGCCACACUGGGACUGAGACACGGGCCAGCAUCCUACGGGAGCCAGCAGUGGGGAACCUUGGACAAUGGGGGGAACCCUGCUCCAGCCAUCCACCGCGUGCGCAGCAGGCCUCAUCGUUGCAUAGCACGUUAUUUUAGUAGGAGGCUCUUUUGGUUAAUACCCAAGAUGAGUGGACGUUACUCGCAGACCAAGCACCGGCUAACUCUGUGCCAGCAGCCGCGGUAA